This 52-nucleotide non-coding RNA is filed under the name unclassified sequences. RNAcentral's name for it is "L31-Actinobacteria ribosomal protein leader". It matches the Rfam family "L31-Actinobacteria ribosomal protein leader". The record is from RNAcentral.
CUGGUUCCGGUUCACGUCGCUGCGCCCGCGCAGCCCUGACGACCCGGCGACC